RNAcentral lists this long non-coding RNA (990 nucleotides) under Polistes fuscatus (common paper wasp). Its description in RNAcentral is "uncharacterized LOC122522649, transcript variant X1". The record is from RNAcentral. Lineage: Eukaryota; Metazoa; Arthropoda; Insecta; Hymenoptera; Vespidae.
CCAGUCUACGAUGCCUGCUCGGUCUACCCUCGAAACCAACUGGAAAUCUAAAAGAUAAAAUCUUCUUCAUUGAUAAUAUUUUCGAUAAAGAAAAAAUUCCGGACGUCUUUGAUGAUUGCUGAGAGAGGUGUGAUUCUUAUUACAUCGUGAUUUACCCAAAAUCUGUUGAUGCUAUUACUUUCUUCGCCUGAUGCUGUAACGUUUGGUCUGGAAGGAGGAUAAUAACCAACUCUGAUAUCGAGGGAAUAUAUACCUCAAAUCGUACAUCCAAGUCGGCCAAAUUCGCAAGCAAGAACUCAUAAAGAGAUCACCGUCCUUGUAAAGAGCAACGUAAUGUUUUAAACAAUGUGGGCCAGGAAGAGUGGCACCAUCUGGAGUAUCCCAUUCACCUGGUAAUGAAGGUCGACCGACUGUGAUAUUGGUCCGAUAAUAUCCUCUUGGAUGUUCCAAUGGAGACAAGAUCAAUUUAGGUCUGAUGGUUUUGUCUGGAAAAAAAUAAUGACCGUAAUCGCGUCGACCAGUUAUGAUGUUUGAUUCAUUCAUUCGAAAUAAAAAGAAGAAGCGAUGAAAGACAAAAAUACGAUCAUCGAGAAACGGUGGUUGGUUCUCCAGAGGUGUCCCGAUUAAAAAAGUCGAGAGAAAGAAGAAGCGAUCGAGGGACAACCCCAGACGACUGAGCGUACACCAACUUUGCUCGGUCAAGCUCGGACGCGCGGAGUUCUAGUUUAAUAUAGAACCCAUUGGUUCGCUUGUAAAAUGUUCGAGCGCAUUGUACCAUCCUUCCAUCACUUCCUCGGACACGUCAAUUUGUUCGAAAAGGGGGGAACCGUGUUUUACCUACGUCUCUCUCUCUCUCUCUCUCUCACCAUUUUGUCUCUCCUCUUGGACUCUCUAUCGACGACGUGUAGAGUCAAGGGGUCAGACUCGACCACCUAACAUUAAACACCCCAUUUCCUGCGUAUCUUCAGAAGAUAGAUAGACGGAAAGAAA